CUCAGGAGCCUGGGACAUAAUUGCCCCUUAAAAUGAACACGGACACCCCGAACCACAAUGUUUAUGUUAGGACUUGAUAUUCGUAAAAAACAGUAUAGAACGUAUUGUUAUCGUCUGGAUUUAUGAAAUAAAAAAGCUUUUACUUGUUUAUACAUAACAUAACAUGGUACCAGGAGUGAAUUAAGCAGUUAUUUAUCGAUUGGAAAGUCUAUUGUGCA
Paramuricea clavata is the source of this 218-nucleotide non-coding RNA. The record is from the annotation of a GenBank genome assembly. Lineage: Eukaryota; Metazoa; Cnidaria; Anthozoa; Malacalcyonacea; Plexauridae.